Molecule: long non-coding RNA, 1007 nt
Filed under: Bos indicus x Bos taurus (hybrid cattle)
Lineage: Eukaryota; Metazoa; Chordata; Mammalia; Artiodactyla; Bovidae
Description: lncRNA (ENSBIXG00005022331.1)
Source: RNAcentral
AUCUCAGAGGCAGCUGUCUCCUCCGCCUACAUUCAAGUCCAGUCCUAUUUGUAGGUUUCCAAAGCAACAAUGCAAAUGUUCGAUCAAUGUGCUUGGUGUGUGAUAGGCCUAUACUACAGGCUUGUUUUGCCAUAAGUCCUGGUUGCAAGGAAUGUGCUAAACUCAGAAGAGGUGUUUCUAGGACAUGGCGCCUGGGGAUAACAGGGAUUCCUACAAAAACUGCCACAGACCAUGGUACCAGACUCCAGCGCUGCUUUGCUGUAAGUGAUGCCCUCACCAGGACAAAACAUCAAAGGAAGCUGCUUGAACGCAGAUGGUAUCAGCCUUGGCAGUCCUGGAAGCCUGCAAUAAAAAACACCACAUCACUGACCUUCAUGUUUGGCGUCUUCUCCCAUACAUGCAAAUGUGCCUGGCAAUCUUAAGAUGGACACAGAUGGUCCAGAACUUUCACUAAGACUGAGCAACCUGUGAGUGAUCAGGAAAGAAACCAUGAGGGACUGGAAAUUGGACUCAGCCUCUCUGCUUGAUCCUUGGGUACCACUCUUGGCGGCACAGUGGAGAAUUGGUUUUGACAUCUUUGUCCCAUCAAAGUCUUUGUUUCUCCCUGACACUCCUUGCCACCUCAUCUGUUCACUUACAGCCUGUGCUAAGGUUGUGACUGAAUGGCACCUUCUCAUUAGGAACAACCCAGGGGGAGAGACAGAGGGUUGCAUGCAUGGAACUGAUUGUGAUUUGUUCUUUUCUUACAGUAAUCAGUGACAUCUUGGUUGAUUCCUUCUUAUUUUCAUCGUUACUGCUUACUGCGAAUAUUCUUUUCUUUCGGUUUUGUCUCUUACCUGUUUUUUUAUCCUCCAAAUGAACAUUCUCAAAGAAAUCUUUGACCCUGGAUUGAUUAAUAUCUUAGCUAUUGUUUAUGAACUACCACACAUUGAAAUCUAAUUACUUCUACUGUUUCUAGUUUCUCAUUUUAAAAUAAAUUCCCUGGAGCUUUAGACUCCUCCUCCUCC